This is a long non-coding RNA of Tupaia belangeri chinensis (Chinese tree shrew), 605 nucleotides long. RefSeq lists it as uncharacterized. Lineage: Eukaryota; Metazoa; Chordata; Mammalia; Scandentia; Tupaiidae. The record is from RefSeq and is a predicted model, not a curated record. The transcript has 4 exons.
CACCUUAUAUCCUGGCCAAACACACCUGUCCUGAUUCAGCCACCCUCCUCUGACCAGGUGUUAGCACGUACAGCUUUAGAGGCCACUCCUGGAAGAAAGAAAUGAAACAACCAUAAAAUCUAGCAAUCCCUCUCAUGGGUGUAUAUCCAAAGGAAAAGAAAUCAGUAUCUCAAAGAGAUAUCUGCACCCCCAGGGCUACUGCAGCACUAUUCACAAUGGCCAAGCUCCGGAAUCAGCCUGCCUGCCUAUCCGUGAGAAGAUAAAGGAAUGUGAGAUGUACGCAGUGGAACACUACUCAGCGUAGAAAGGAUGGAAAGCCUGCCUUUCACAUCCCUGAACCUGAAGGACAUUCUGCCAAGUCAGUAAGCCAGACCCAGAAACACAAAUACUGUAUCAUCUCACGCUACCUGUAGCCUAGGCACCACCAUCACACCACGUCUGAAACUUCCCACUCCUGCGAUUUUUUCAUACCUUGGUGAAUGAAAGCAGCUUGUCCCACGGUCUGGACUCCUGUCUGAACUGCCAGUGUUCUUCGCAGCCAACUAAUUAUGCAGAUGGAUGAUGGCUGGAGGGCUAUCUGUUCCUGAUCUGGAUUGAAGACUGUC